RNAcentral lists this ribosomal RNA (253 nucleotides) under uncultured bacterium. RNAcentral's name for it is "partial 16S ribosomal RNA". It matches the Rfam family "Bacterial small subunit ribosomal RNA", at positions 524 to 776 of the family's 1533-position model. The record is from RNAcentral.
UACAGAGGGGGCAAGCGUUGUUCGGAAUUACUGGGCGUAAAGGGCGCGUAGGCGGCCUGCUAAGUCGAACGUGAAAUCCCCGGGCUCAACCCGGGAACUGCGUCCGAUACUGGCAGGCUUGAAUUCGGGAGAGGGAUGCGGAAUUCCAGGUGUAGCGGUGAAAUGCGUAGAUAUCUGGAGGAACACCGGUGGCGAAGGCGGCGUCCUGGACCAACACUGACACUGAUGAGCGAAAGCCAGGGGAGCAAACGGG